RNAcentral lists this ribosomal RNA (279 nucleotides) under uncultured bacterium. RNAcentral's name for it is "partial 16S ribosomal RNA". It matches the Rfam family "Bacterial small subunit ribosomal RNA", at positions 506 to 784 of the family's 1533-position model. The record is from RNAcentral.
UGCCAGCCGCCGCGGUAAUACGGAGGGGGCAAGCGUUGUUCGGAAUUACUGGGCGUAAAGCGCACGUAGGCGGACUUUUAAGUCAGAUGUGAAAUCCCAAGGCUCAACCUUGGAACUGCAUUUGAAACUGGGAGUCUAGAGAUCAGGAGAGGUUAGUGGAAUACCGAGUGUAGAGGUGAAAUUCGUAGAUAUUAGGAAGAACACCGGUGGCGAAGGCGGCUCACUGGCCCGUUACUGACGCUGAGGUGCGAAAGCGUGGGGAGCAAACAGGAUUAGAUA